RNAcentral lists this long non-coding RNA (1771 nucleotides) under Homo sapiens (human). RNAcentral's name for it is "HSALNT0348352". The record is from RNAcentral. Lineage: Eukaryota; Metazoa; Chordata; Mammalia; Primates; Hominidae.
AAGAGGAAGAAAUGGCAGAAAAGAAAAAAAAUUAUAUCAUUUAAAACAAUGCCAUAUAUUCAAAUCAUAGUUCUCUCAUGGCUAACAUUGAACCAAAAGAACUUCAUUAUCUUAAAGAUGAAAUAAUACUGAUUUUUUUAAAACUCAGCUGUUCCAAUAAAGACUCUUUGUACUUAUUUAUCAAUUGUAAGAAGCUGUUUUAGACGUGUUCAAAGUAUUGCUUUAAAUUUACUUCUUGAAUGCCAUUAGAGAGCAAAGUGGAAGAGAAAGGUACAUUAAAACAGAGAGGGAAAGGGUAGGAAGGUAAACGAAAGAAAAGGAAACAGAAUGACUAAGCCUAACAGUCUGCUUUAUUUUGCUAUGAAUGAGUAUUGCCACAUUUCUACAUUUCUUGGGACAUCAUUAUAAACAUUAGUCUAUUGUUACAAUACAUUUAUACCCUGGUGUUAAUUUUUCUUUAUUAAAUAGAAAGUGAAUUAAAGAGUAAAUGAAAAUACGAUUGACAUUUGCUAAAAGUGAAGAACUCCUAUAAAGACCGUGAAGUCUUAAAAAAAAGUUUUUUUUUUUAUUUCCAUAGGUUUUUGGGGAACAGGUGGUAUUUGCUUGUACAGGAGGCCAGCAAUGCAACCCUACCAUGACCAACCAGACUCUUCCUUCUGGGAAGCAGAAUUUUGAACAGAAGGCCAACAGACUGGAAAUGCCACGGAAGCCCUAGUCUGGCAGGAAAGAAGAGUCAUUAGGCAUCAUCUGGCAACUUGGCUUGGAGAAGUCAGAUCAGUCACCAAGAGUCUGGUGGGGCUGCAGCAAUGGCUAGAAAGAACCAGUGACAUGAUUGCCAGAUAGAGUGGUCAGAGAAGACCUUUCUGAGGCCAUGGUAUUUAAGAUGAGACUUGAAGAGCAACAAGAAGCUAGACACACAAAGCAGAUAAUUUUUUAAUGGCCAUUUCUGGAGAGAAGUUUCCAAGGGAUGAAGUUAUUAUACAGUUUCCAAAUAUUCCUGAAGAGGUCUAAAGAAAAUGUAUUCUGAUUCCACCUUUUACCUGUUUUCCUUUUUUUUUUUCUCUCUCUCUCUUUUUGGAAUUUGUUAUUUGGAUAUAGGAUACACUAGGCUGGUGCUCCAAUUUUCUUAUAUUUUCUGUUUUCCUUGAAGUUUUAGGGGACUUUCUGAACUUUAUUUUUCAAAAUUCAGUUGAGUCUUUAUUGUUUUCCAAAUAUCAACAUUUCUUACCCAGACUAAUGAACUAGCCUACUCACUCAUCUUUCUGAUCCUAUUCCUCUAUAUUAUCCACCCCAAUCCCAAGUUAAUUCUUGUAUGGUCUUUUUGAAAGACUGCAUGAGGUUUUUUGUUUUUAUUUCUGCUUAAAUUAUUUGCUGAUUUAUUUGCACUUAGGAUACAGGCCUAAAUCCUUAGCUUUGCUGACAUCAUGAAAGAUGUGGGCCCUCCCUAGCACUCCAGUUUCAUCUUACAUCAUGCCACUCUUUGGUACUUUAUCCUUACUGUCCAGCUUCAUUUCCUAGAGUGUCCUGUGACCCUCUUGACUCAGAGCCUCUGCACGUGCUGUUCCCUGUGUUUGUCUCCUUUGUCCAGCUCUACCAACUUCCUUUAUCUCUCAGUGUUCAGGUGUCAUCUCAUCUCCAGCAUGAAUUAGAUGUCUUAUCUUGUGCUUCUCAUUGGGCUAUACUGUAAUGCUUAGCACAUUAGUCAGUUCCCUCAUUGCUAUAAAGAAAUACCUGAGGCUGGGUAAUUUAUAAAGAAAGGAGGUUUAAUUGG